GUGAGGAAUAUUGGUCAAUGGGCGAGAGCCUGAACCAGCCAAGUCGCGUGAAGGAUGAAGGUUUUAUGAAUUGUAAACUUCUUUUGCAGGGGAAUAAAGUACGGUACGUGUACCGUUUUGUAUGUACUCUGCGAAUAAGGAUCGGCUAACUCCGUGCCAGCAGCCGCGGUAAUACGGAGGAUCCAAGCGUUAUCCGGAUUUAUUGGGUUUAAAGGGUGCGCAGGCGGGUUGAUAAGUCAGCGGUGAAAGUUUGCAGCUUAACUGUAAAAAUGCCGUUGAAACUGUCGGACUUGAGUGUAAAUGAGGUAGGCGGAAUGCGUGGUGUAGCGGUGAAAUGCAUAGAUAUCACGCAGAACUCCGAUUGCGAAGGCAGCUUACUAAGCUACAACUGACACUGAAGCACGAAAGCGUGGGGAUCAAACAGGAUUAGAAACCCCGGUAGUCC
This 445-nucleotide ribosomal RNA is filed under the name uncultured bacterium. RNAcentral's name for it is "partial 16S ribosomal RNA". It matches the Rfam family "Bacterial small subunit ribosomal RNA", at positions 354 to 796 of the family's 1533-position model. The record is from RNAcentral.